GUGCUCGCUUCAGCAGCACAUAAACUAAAAUUGGAACGAUACUGAGAAGAUUAGCAUGGCCCCUGUGUAAGGACAACACACAAAUUCAAGAAGCAUUCCACUAAAAA
This is a small nuclear RNA of Myodes glareolus (Bank vole), 107 nucleotides long. Lineage: Eukaryota; Metazoa; Chordata; Mammalia; Rodentia; Cricetidae. The record is from RefSeq and is a predicted model, not a curated record.